AGUGAACGCUGGCGGUAGGCCUAACACAUGCAAGUCGAACGGCAGCACAGUAAGAGCUUGCUCUUAUGGGUGGCGAGUGGCGGACGGGUGAGGAAUACAUCGGAAUCUACUUUUUCGUGGGGGAUAACGUAGGGAAACUUACGCUAAUACCGCAUACGACCUACGGGUGAAAGCAGGGGAUCUUCGGACCUUGCGCGAUUGAGUGAGCCGAUGUCGGAUUAGCUAGUUGGCGGGGUAAAGGCCCACCAAGGCGACGAUCCGUAGCUGGUCUGAGAGGAUGAUCAGCCACACUAGAACUGAGACACGGUCCAGACUCCUACGGGAGGCAGCAGUGGGGAAUAUUGGACAAUGGGCGCAAGCCUGAUCCAGCCAUACCGCGUGGGUGAAGAAGGCCUUCGGGUUGUAAAGCCCUUUUGUUGGGAAAGAAAAGCAGCAGGUUAAUACCCCGCUGUUCUGACGGUACCCAAAGAAUAAGCACCGGCUAACUUCGUG
RNAcentral lists this ribosomal RNA (492 nucleotides) under uncultured bacterium. RNAcentral describes it as "partial 16S ribosomal RNA". It matches the Rfam family "Bacterial small subunit ribosomal RNA", at positions 29 to 507 of the family's 1533-position model. The record is from RNAcentral.